UGCGAGAGUGGCGAAAUUGGCAGACGCGCUGGAUUUAGGAUCCUGUGCCUUCGGGCGUGGGGGUUCAACUCCCCCCUCUCGCAU
Molecule: transfer RNA, 84 nt
Filed under: Planctomycetia bacterium
Lineage: Bacteria; Pseudomonadati; Planctomycetota; Planctomycetia
Description: tRNA-Leu
Rfam family: tRNA
About the family: Transfer RNA (tRNA) molecules are approximately 80 nucleotides in length. Their secondary structure includes four short double-helical elements and three loops (D, anti-codon, and T loops). Further hydrogen bonds mediate the characteristic L-shaped molecular structure. tRNAs have two regions of fundamental functional importance: the anti-codon, which is responsible for specific mRNA codon recognition, and the 3' end, to which the tRNAs corresponding amino acid is attached (by aminoacyl-tRNA synthetases). tRNAs cope with the degeneracy of the genetic code in two manners: having more than one tRNA (with a specific anti-codon) for a particular amino acid; and 'wobble' base-pairing, i.e. permitting non-standard base-pairing at the 3rd anti-codon position.
Source: RNAcentral